This 222-nucleotide ribosomal RNA is filed under the name uncultured Glomeromycotina. RNAcentral describes it as "partial 18S ribosomal RNA". The stretch from base 39 to 222 matches the Rfam family "Eukaryotic small subunit ribosomal RNA", at positions 685 to 869 of the family's 1831-position model. The record is from RNAcentral. Lineage: Eukaryota; Fungi; Glomeromycota.
GGGUUAGUAAGUUGGUCAUGCCUUCGGUAUGUACUGGCUUUACUGAUUCCUCCUUCUUGACGAACCGUGAUGUCAUUAAUUUGGUGUUGCGGGAAAUCAGGACUGUUACUUUGGUAAAAAAAUUGAGUGUUUAAAGCAGGCUAACGCUUGAAUACAUUAGCAUGGAAUAAUGAAAUAGGACGUUAAUCCUAUUUUGUUGGUUUCUAGGAUCGACGUAAUGAU